Molecule: long non-coding RNA, 667 nt
Organism: Triticum aestivum (bread wheat)
Lineage: Eukaryota; Viridiplantae; Streptophyta; Magnoliopsida; Poales; Poaceae
Exons: 3
Source: RefSeq, a predicted model, not a curated record
GCCGCCGCCGGUGUCGUAGCCCGGGGUGUCGAGGGAGAGGCGACGGACUAGAGGAACCAGGCGAGCCGGUCGGCGGGUAACCGGAGCAGCAACGCCAUUGUCUCCUCCCCUCGUCUUUCUUCUAGCUGGAGCGGGGUCGGCCAGCUGCCGCAUCCCCGUCGAGGAAGGGGCCACGGAGCUCACGCGGAGAGCGGCCUAGUGCUUAGGUAAGGCUGCAGCCGCGUCGUCGUGUGGUCUGCUGACACCAAGGGCUGGUCCAUCGCCGGGGCGUGCAUCAGCAGCGACGCCUCCGAGAUUGGCCACCCGCCAUGGAUGUUCCUCUGCACCGACCCUAGUGCCAUGGAACAAGUCAAGCACGCAUGGCAGCAGAUCGCUGCAGCCAUCCUUCUCACCUGGGAAGGAGGAGAUCCAUCAGCAGCAGCCCAGAUUUUUUUAAUGAAACGAUGAAGAUGAAGAAGGAAAGCAACCGGAACGGGCGAAGAGAGGUGGAUAGGAAGUAAUUCUAAAAAAUAUUGUAUUAGAGAUUAAGUUGCAUCAGAAUAUAUGUGGAGCUGCUUAGUUCACAUCAACAGUUGCAUAAAAAUGCCUGGAACACAUUUUUGUUUUUUUAAUAGUUGUCCAUGAAUCAUACUAAAGUUUCCUAUGUUAGAGAAUAUAUAUGCAUUAA